UCGUAACAAGGUUUCCGUAGGUGAACCUGCGGAAGGAUCAUUACCGAGUGCGGGCUGCCUCCGGGCGCCCAACCUCCCACCCGUGACUACCUAACACUGUUGCUUCGGCGGGGAGCCCCCCAGGGGGCGAGCCGCCGGGGACCACUGAACUUCAUGCCUGAGAGUGAUGCAGUCUGAGCCUGAAUACAAAUCAGUCAAAACUUUCAACAAUGGAUCUCUUGGUUCCGGCAUCGAUGAAGAACGCAGCGAACUGCGAUAAGUAAUGUGAAUUGCAGAAUUCAGUGAAUCAUCGAGUCUUUGAACGCACAUUGCGCCCCCUGGCAUUCCGGGGGGCAUGCCUGUCCGAGCGUCAUUGCUGCCCUCAAGCCCGGCUUGUGUGUUGGGUCGUCGUCCCCCCCCCGGGGGACGGGCCCGAAAGGCAGCGGCGGCACCGUGUCCGGUCCUCGAGCGUAUGGGGCUUUGUCACCCGCUCGAUUAGGGCCGGCCGGGCGCCAGCCGGCGUCUCCAACCUUAUUUUUCUCAGGUUGACCUCGGAUCAGGUAGGGAUACCCGCUGAACUUAAGCAUAUCAAUAA
Molecule: unclassified non-coding RNA, 574 nt
Filed under: Aspergillus quadrilineatus
Lineage: Eukaryota; Fungi; Ascomycota; Eurotiomycetes; Eurotiales; Aspergillaceae
Description: sequence contains 18S rRNA gene, ITS1, 5.8S rRNA gene, ITS2, 28S rRNA gene
Rfam family: 5.8S ribosomal RNA (bases 199-352)
Source: RNAcentral